Molecule: non-coding RNA, 188 nt
Filed under: Gammaproteobacteria bacterium
Lineage: Bacteria; Pseudomonadati; Pseudomonadota; Gammaproteobacteria
Description: 6S RNA
Rfam family: 6S / SsrS RNA
About the family: E. coli 6S RNA was the first non coding RNA to be sequenced, but its function was unknown until recently. It consists of 184 nucleotides that fold into an extended hairpin structure with a large single-stranded internal bulge.
Source: RNAcentral
GUGUUUCUGCAGUGUUUGUAAGCACACUUUCAAUACCCCUUGAGCCUUAAAUUUCGACCCCGGGUAUGAGUCUGUUAACACUGUGUGCAUUACCGCCUGUGGCGAGAAGCCUUAUGUGCUAACGCAAAUUCCCACUUGAACCUCUGGUUCAAGGGUCGGAAGUUCUGCUACGGCACUGCGGUUUCACC